GAGCUAAUUAGUUUAUAUUUUAAAAUUUUUGUUUGUGGUGCAAGGGAAAUUGUUAGCUAU
Molecule: transfer RNA, 60 nt
Filed under: Macropostrongyloides mawsonae
Lineage: Eukaryota; Metazoa; Nematoda; Chromadorea; Rhabditida; Strongylidae
Description: tRNA-His
Source: RNAcentral